CCCCGAGACUUUAUGUCUCCUAAAGAGCCGUUGAAGACUACGACGUUGAUAGGUUGGAUGUGGAAGCAUAGUGAUAUGUGAAGCUGACCAAUACUAAUUGCUCGUGAGGCUUGACUAUACAACACCCAAACAGUUG
This 136-nucleotide ribosomal RNA is filed under the name Acinetobacter pseudolwoffii. RNAcentral's name for it is "partial 23S ribosomal RNA". The stretch from base 1 to 118 matches the Rfam family "Bacterial large subunit ribosomal RNA", at positions 2797 to 2925 of the family's 2925-position model. Lineage: Bacteria; Pseudomonadati; Pseudomonadota; Gammaproteobacteria; Moraxellales; Moraxellaceae. The record is from RNAcentral.